RNAcentral lists this ribosomal RNA (482 nucleotides) under uncultured bacterium. RNAcentral's name for it is "partial 16S ribosomal RNA". It matches the Rfam family "Bacterial small subunit ribosomal RNA", at positions 28 to 507 of the family's 1533-position model. The record is from RNAcentral.
GACGAACGCUGGCGGCGUGCUUAACACAUGCAAGUCGAACGCUGAAGCUCAGCUUGCUGGGUGGAUGAGUGGCGAACGGGUGAGUAACACGUGAGUAACCUGCCCUCUUCUUUGGGAUAACGCCCGGAAACGGGUGCUAAUACUGGAUAUUCACUGAUUCUCGCAUGGGGGUUGGUGGAAAGGUUUUUUCUGGUGGGGGAUGGGCUCGCGGCCUAUCAGCUUGUUGGUGGGGUGAUGGCCUACCAAGGCUUUGACGGGUAGCCGGCCUGAGAGGGUGACCGGUCACAUUGGGACUGAGAUACGGCCCAGACUCAUACGGGAGGCAGCAGUGGGGAAUAUUGCACAAUGGGCGAAAGCCUGAUGCAGCGACGCCGCGUGAGGGAUGGAGGCCUUCGGGUUGUAAACCUCUUUCGCUCAUGGUCAAGCCGCAGCUUUGGGUUGUGGUGAGGGUAGUGGGUAAAGAAGCGCCGGCUAACUACGUG